Mugil cephalus (flathead mullet) is the source of this 369-nucleotide long non-coding RNA. RefSeq lists it as uncharacterized. The record is from RefSeq and is a predicted model, not a curated record. The transcript is spliced from 3 exons. NCBI's taxonomy places the organism in Eukaryota, Metazoa, Chordata, Actinopteri, Mugiliformes, Mugilidae.
UGACCAUUCCUCCUUUCGCCUCCUUCGCUGCCAAGGCCGCCGCCUCCUCCGCUGCUGACGGCUCCUCUCCAUUGGUCAGACCAUCCUCAAAGGGCUCCUGGCAGCCAGGAUGGAAAAGAAAACAAAAGAGAAACCAGAUUCAGGCAAAUGAGGAGCUGAGGCACCCAGCCAUUAAACACAAACAACCUUCAUGAUAAUAAUCCAGCAUUCAGCCACUGGAGGAGCCUCCAGAAAGCCGCCAUCACACGUGUGGACAAAUAGGUGCUGACUGCUCUGGGGUUCCCGACAACAGGGACUUUCCAGCGGGAACUGGACGACCGGUCAGGAGUGUGUCGGUCAAUCCUGACCCGAGCCAUGCCAGCUGUGUGG